AUCGGGGGUCAAAAAGCGAUUUAGAAAAGUUGUGCCACGUCAGCAGCCCACGUCAGCGGCCCGGUCAGUAGCCCCGGCCAACCAGGACACGCCGCGUGGCAAGGAAACGCUGACCAGGGGAUGGGCCACGUGGGCGAUCUGCGUAUGCGCGAUCGGACGGCCCAGAUCCGUUCCCGCGCGCACGGAUGGCCCAGAUCAAACGUGCGCAUAGAUGGCCCAGAUUCACGCGUACGGACGGUCCAGAUUCAAUCAGGCACGGACAGCCCAGAUUUAAUCCCAAUUAAAUCGCGAUCGAACAGUCCAGAUUUAAUCUUGAUGGACGGUUGAGAUUAAAAGGCAAAAGGUAUAAAUAACCCCACCCACACCUGACGACAAAACCCUAGUCGCCAGUGCCUCGCCGGAGAAGAAGAACCAGACGCCGGAGGAGCCGGCCGCCGC
RNAcentral lists this long non-coding RNA (438 nucleotides) under Carica papaya (papaya). RNAcentral's name for it is "long non-coding RNA (CPAP_LNC014669)". The record is from RNAcentral. Lineage: Eukaryota; Viridiplantae; Streptophyta; Magnoliopsida; Brassicales; Caricaceae.